Molecule: small RNA, 781 nt
Filed under: Pongo abelii (Sumatran orangutan)
Lineage: Eukaryota; Metazoa; Chordata; Mammalia; Primates; Hominidae
Description: processed transcript
Source: RNAcentral
UUUUAAUUCUGUCUCUAAUCUCUGCAACAGCCGCGCUUCCCGGGUCGCGCGGCUCCCGCGCGCGAUCUGCCGCGGCCGGCUGCUGGGCAAAAAUCAGAGCCGCCUCCGCCCCAUUACCCAUCAUGGAAACCCUCCAGGAAAAAGUGGCCCCGGACGCGCGAGCCUGAGGAUUCUGCACAAAAGAGGUGCCCAAAAUGAAGACCCUGAUGCGCCAUGGUCUGGCAGUGUGUUUAGCGCUCACCACCAUGUGCACCAGCUUGUUGCUAGUGUACAGCAGCCUCGGCGGCCAGAAGGAGCGGCCCCCGCAGCAGCAGCAGCAGCAACAGCAGCGGCAGGCGUCGUCCACCGGCAGCUCGCAGCCGGCGGCGGAGAGCAGCACCCAGCAGCGCCCCGGGGUCCCCGCAGGACAGCGGCCACUGGACGGAUACCUCGGAGUGGCGGACCACAAGGUGACAGCAUGCCCGCCAGCCGGCUCGCCACUCAGCCUGGGGAUCCCGCACACCUGAGCCUUCCCCCUUUCCCGGGGCUGGGAGGCGCUGUGAGUAGGUGCCGUUCGGAAGCUGGAGGGGAGUGGACCCGCUGGGGUAGGGUGGGCUAGUUCCAACUUGGUAUGAAUUCUUAUUUGGAGAAAGACACAAAGUUUUGUAGAAAAUAGGGGUGAGGUGAGCGGACCCCAAAGCCUAAUUUCCCAGCAGAAAUCGGCCCUGGAACUAGAACUCCCUGAUCCCCAGAAUUGCAGCUGCAGAUGGAGGUCCGGUUCCUGAAGCCUCGGGUUUGGCUG